UGGAUGAGCCCGCGGCCUAUCAGCUUGUUGGUGGGGUAAUGGCCCACCAAGGCGACGACGGGUAGCCGGCCUGAGAGGGUGACCGGCCACACUGGGACUGAGACACGGCCCAGACUCCUACGGGAGGCAGCAGUGGGGAAUAUUGCACAAUGGGCGAAAGCCUGAUGCAGCGACGCCGCGUGAGGGAUGACGGCCUUCGGGUUGUAAACCUCUUUCAGCAGGGACGAAGCGAAAGAGGCGGUACAACCCCGCAAAGCACCGCGCCUACACAUGUA
RNAcentral lists this ribosomal RNA (275 nucleotides) under uncultured actinomycete. Its description in RNAcentral is "partial 16S rRNA". It matches the Rfam family "Bacterial small subunit ribosomal RNA", at positions 222 to 489 of the family's 1533-position model. Lineage: Bacteria; Bacillati; Actinomycetota; Actinomycetes; Actinomycetales. The record is from RNAcentral.